Molecule: transfer RNA, 105 nt
Rfam family: tRNA
About the family: Transfer RNA (tRNA) molecules are approximately 80 nucleotides in length. Their secondary structure includes four short double-helical elements and three loops (D, anti-codon, and T loops). Further hydrogen bonds mediate the characteristic L-shaped molecular structure. tRNAs have two regions of fundamental functional importance: the anti-codon, which is responsible for specific mRNA codon recognition, and the 3' end, to which the tRNAs corresponding amino acid is attached (by aminoacyl-tRNA synthetases). tRNAs cope with the degeneracy of the genetic code in two manners: having more than one tRNA (with a specific anti-codon) for a particular amino acid; and 'wobble' base-pairing, i.e. permitting non-standard base-pairing at the 3rd anti-codon position.
Source: Rfam
GCAUCGGUGGUUUAGUGGUAAAAUUAGCCGUUGCCAUCCAUCUGUUCCUCACAGUCCAGAUUGGACAACGUCGGCUAGCCCCGGGUUCGAUUCCCGGCCGAUGCA